This 467-nucleotide ribosomal RNA is filed under the name uncultured bacterium. RNAcentral's name for it is "partial 16S ribosomal RNA". It matches the Rfam family "Bacterial small subunit ribosomal RNA", at positions 29 to 507 of the family's 1533-position model. The record is from RNAcentral.
ACGAACGCUGGCGGCGUGCUUAACACAUGCAAGUCGAACGGAAAGGCCCUGCUUUUGUGGGGUGCUCGCGUGGCGAACGGGUGAGUAACACGUUAGUAACCUGCCCUUGACUUUGGGAUAACUUCAGGAAACUGGGGCUAAUACCGGAUAGGAGCUCCUGCUGCUUGGUGGGUGUUGGAAAGUUUCGGCGGUUGGGGAUGGACUCGCGGCUUAUCAGCUUGUUGGUGGGGUAGUGGCUUACCAAGGCUUUGACGGGUAGCCGGCCUGAGAGGGUGACCGGCCACAUUGGGACUGAGAUACGGCCCAGACUGCUACGGGAGGCAGCAGUGGGGAAUAUUGCACAAUGGGCGGAAGCCUGAUGCAGAAACGCCGCGUGCGGGAUGACGGCCUUCGGGUUGUAAACCGCUUUCGCCUGUGACGAAGCGUGAGUGACGGUAAUGGGUAAAGAAGCACCGGCUAACUACGUG